This 468-nucleotide ribosomal RNA is filed under the name uncultured bacterium. RNAcentral's name for it is "partial 16S ribosomal RNA". It matches the Rfam family "Bacterial small subunit ribosomal RNA", at positions 28 to 507 of the family's 1533-position model. The record is from RNAcentral.
GACGAACGCUGGCGGCGUGCUUAACACAUGCAAGUCGAACGGAAAGGCCCUGCGUUUGUUGGGUGCUCGAGUGGCGAACAGGUGAGUAACACGUGAGUAACCUGCCCUUGACUUUGGGAUAACUUCAGGAAACUGGGGCUUAUACCGGAUAGGAGCUCCUGCUGCAUGGUGGGGGUUGGAAAGUUUCGGCGGUUGGGGAUGGACUCGCGGCUUAUCAGCUUGUUGGUGUGGUAGUGGCUUACCAAGGCUUUGACGGGUAGCCGGCCUGAGAGGGUGACCGGCCACAUUGGGACUGAGAUACGGCCCAGACUCCUACGGGAGGCAGCAGUGGGGAAUAUUGCACAAUGGGCGGAAGCCUGAUGCAGCAACGCCGCGUGCGGGAUGACGGCCUUCGGGUUGUAAACCGCUUUCGCCUGUGACGAAGCGUGAGUGACGGUAAUGGGUAAAGAAGCACCGGCUAACUACGUG